GACGAACGCUGGCGGCGCGCUUAACACAUGCAAGUCGAGCGAGAACCUGGGCUUCGGCCCUGGGGACAGCGGCGAACGGGUGAGUAACACGUGGGUAAUCUGCCCUCGACAUCGGGAUAGCCCGGGGAAACCCGGAUUAAUACCGAAUAGCCUCCGGAGCCUUCGGGCGCCGGAGAAAAGGUAGCUUAGGCCUCUGGUCGAGGAUGAGCCCGCGGCGGAUUAGCUUGUUGGCGGGGUAACGGCCCACCAAGGCGACGAUCCGUAGCUGGUCUGAGAGGACGAUCAGCCACACUGGGACUGAGACACGGCCCAGACUCCUACGGGAGGCAGCAGUGGGGAAUUUUGACAAUGGGGGCAACCCUGAUCCAGCCAUUCCGCGUGAGUGAAGAAGGCC
Molecule: ribosomal RNA, 394 nt
Filed under: uncultured bacterium
Lineage: Bacteria
Description: bacterial SSU rRNA
Rfam family: Bacterial small subunit ribosomal RNA
Source: RNAcentral